UACGGAGGGGGCUAGCGUUGUUCGGAAUUACUGGGCGUAAAGCGCACGUAGGCGGCUUUGCAAGUUAGAGGUGAAAGCCCGGGGCUCAACUCCGGAAUUGCCUUUAAAACUGCAUCGCUAGAAUUGUGGAGAGGUAAGUGGAAUUCCGAGUGUAGAGGUGAAAUUCGUAGAUAUUCGGAAGAACACCAGUGGCGAAGGCGACUUACUGGACACAUAUGACGCUGAGGUGCGAAAGCGUGGGAGCAAACAGG
Molecule: ribosomal RNA, 251 nt
Filed under: uncultured bacterium
Lineage: Bacteria
Description: partial 16S ribosomal RNA
Rfam family: Bacterial small subunit ribosomal RNA
Source: RNAcentral